Molecule: transfer RNA, 59 nt
Filed under: Camaena poyuensis
Lineage: Eukaryota; Metazoa; Mollusca; Gastropoda; Stylommatophora; Camaenidae
Description: tRNA-Phe
Source: RNAcentral
UACUAUAUAGCUUAAACAAAGCGGUGCUUUGAAGGGGCAACGAUAUAAUAUUAUAGUAA